UCACCCCUCCACUUCUUCCCGCAUAAGGUUAGUGCCGCUGCAUUUCAUUCUUAUGCAAAAUUGAUUAAUUAAAAAUGCUAACCAUUUUCAUUUACGUCAUGACCACAACCACAGCAUGACUCACAUUGUAACCUGUAUAGU
Caenorhabditis elegans is the source of this 141-nucleotide non-coding RNA. Lineage: Eukaryota; Metazoa; Nematoda; Chromadorea; Rhabditida; Rhabditidae. The record is from Ensembl.